Molecule: long non-coding RNA, 715 nt
Filed under: Homo sapiens (human)
Lineage: Eukaryota; Metazoa; Chordata; Mammalia; Primates; Hominidae
Description: non-protein coding lnc-SLC12A7-1:9
Source: RNAcentral
CGUUCAGCCACUCAUUCACACACUAACUCACCCAUUCACACACUAACUCGCCCACUCGUUCACACACUAACUCACCCAUUCACACACUCAUUCAUACACUAACCCACCCAGUCAUUCACACACUAACCCGACUCAUUCACACACUAACCCACUCAUUCACACACUAACUCAUCCACACCCACUCAUUCACACACUAACCCACUCAUUCACACACUAACCCACUCACUCACUGGUUCCCUCACUCACCAACUCGUUCACCCAGUCAUCUGCAUACUAAUUCACUUACCUGCUCAUCCACCCGUUCCCUGACUCACCCAUUCACCCACUCAUCAUUCACUCACUCCUUAAGCACCCAUUCAUUCACAGCUCACCCACUGUCACCCACCCAUUCAUUCGCCUACUCAUGUACUCAUUUACCCCUCAGCCCUCACUCAUCACUGUCACUCACUCAUUGUUCAUUCACCCGUUCACUCAUUCACACACUCAUUUACACACUAACCCACUCACUGUCAUGCAUUCAUUCGCCUACUCAUGUACUCAUUUACCCCUCAGCCCUCACUCACCACUGUCAUUCACUCACUCAGUCACCGUUCCAUUCAUUUAUUCACCCGUUCACUCAUUCAUUCCCUAAUUCACCCACUCAUCCUUCACCCAUUCACUCACUAAUUUACACCAAGUCACUCCCACUCAUUCAGAUACAGGCUGGUCCAGCGAC